Molecule: ribosomal RNA, 866 nt
Filed under: uncultured bacterium
Lineage: Bacteria
Description: bacterial SSU rRNA
Rfam family: Bacterial small subunit ribosomal RNA
Source: RNAcentral
ACACAUGCNAGUCGAGCGGGGUGAUGUAGCUUGCUACAUUACCUAGCGGCGGACGGGUGAGUAAUGCUUAGGAAUCUGCCUAUUAGUGGGGGACAACAUUCCGAAAGGAAUGCUAAUACCGCAUACGCCCUACGGGGGAAAGCAGGGGAUCUUCGGACCUUGCGCUAAUAGAUGAGCCUAAGUCAGAUUAGCUAGUUGGUGGGGUAAAGGCCUACCAAGGCGACGAUCUGUAGCGGGUCUGAGAGGAUGAUCCGCCACACUGGGACUGAGACACGGCCCAGACUCCUACGGGAGGCAGCAGUGGGGAAUAUUGGACAAUGGGCGAAAGCCUGAUCCAGCCAUGCCGCGUGUGUGAAGAAGGCCUUUUGGUUGUAAAGCACUUUAAGCGAGGAGGAGGCUACUUAGAUUAAUACUCUAGGAUAGUGGACGUUACUCGCAGAAUAAGCACCGGCUAACUCUGUGCCAGCAGCCGCGGUAAUACAGAGGGUGCGAGCGUUAAUCGGAUUUACUGGGCGUAAAGCGUGCGUAGGCGGCUUCUUAAGUCGGAUGUGAAAUCCCUGAGCUUAACUUAGGAAUUGCAUUCGAUACUGGGAAGCUAGAGUAUGGGAGAGGAUGGUAGAAUUCCAGGUGUAGCGGUUGAAUGCGUAGAGAUCUGGAGGAAUACCGAUGGCGAAGGCAGCCAUCUGGUCUAAUACUGACGCUGAAGUACGAAAGCAUGGGGAGCAAACAGAUUAGAUACCCUGGUAGUCCAUGCCGUAACGAUGCUACUAGCCGUUGGGGCCUUUGAGCUUUGUGGCCCAGCUACGCGAUAAGUAGACCGUCUGGGGAGUACUGUCGCAAGACUAAACUCAAUGAAUUGACUGGGG